Molecule: long non-coding RNA, 322 nt
Organism: Ictalurus punctatus (channel catfish)
Lineage: Eukaryota; Metazoa; Chordata; Actinopteri; Siluriformes; Ictaluridae
Source: Ensembl
UUGCUUUGUAUGUAGAAGCUAAAAGUCUCCUUUUCUUUUUCUUGCCAUAAUCACCACAUUUUGCGGCAAGUUGUCUGACUUGAGAACUGAGAUCAAGGGAUCAAGGAGCAUCAAAAACAAGUUACUUGUCUGGUGUUUAAGCUGAUUGCUAAGUACAAGGUAAGUUUCAAACAAGAGAAACUGUAUAAUGUAGUAUUUAUUUUGAAACUGAUAUUUAUUAAACCAAAUUAUAUAUUUCAGUCAGGAUUACAUAAUUCUUCACUUACAUAAUGUAAGUGAAAAAAAUGGUUAGUGUGUAUUUACUGAAAACUGUAUCGAGAAC